AUGGCGGUAAUCACGCAGCGGGGAGAGUUUGCAGGAUGAAAUGUUUGCGACUGUGAGACAACUGUAGCAAAUAAAACAUGACAGAGCAGGAUGGGCGCCUUUCUGGAGCAUUCCGCGACGAGCGACUGAAAGCACAGGCCUCCGUUUUUUUCCCCAAAGAAGCCGAAACUGGGAAAGAAGGAAGUGAGAUAAAUGUAAUAAAGUAAUGUGGCCUGCAUGACCCACCCAGAAAGGCGGCAGACUCUCCAAGGAGGCGGCGAAGUUACAGGACUUCAGCAGAGAGCAAACUAAUCCAGCGUCAUUUCAAUUAGGAGACGGUCCUAAGCUCCGUACUAAAUUUAAUUCCUCCAAAUUAAAUUUACGAACCUCUUCAUAUACACAGACUUAUAUUACAAUCUAGGCAACAAGAGGGAAUAUUGAUGAAAUCCUCUUGCGUGACCCGCAUUUAAACUGUAAACAUCUUUCUUUGGUGACAAUUUCAUCUUUUAAAGCUUCUCUCUCUCUUGCUCACUCAAAACAAAUUUUGUUGCACCGUAUGCAGCAGAAGAAAAUGCAGACAAUUGUGCAGCAAUGUAAUUAUACAAACGAGAAAAAGCUGUGUGCAGUGAGGCCGGCUGAGCCGCUUCUUCCCUUGCGAUUUCCUGCUAGAAUGACCAUGACAGAAAUAAAACUGCUGACUGCA
Long non-coding RNA from Brienomyrus brachyistius, 682 nucleotides. RefSeq lists it as uncharacterized. The record is from RefSeq and is a predicted model, not a curated record. Lineage: Eukaryota; Metazoa; Chordata; Actinopteri; Osteoglossiformes; Mormyridae. The transcript has 2 exons.